RNAcentral lists this unclassified non-coding RNA (205 nucleotides) under uncultured Russulales. RNAcentral's name for it is "sequence contains ITS1". Lineage: Eukaryota; Fungi; Basidiomycota; Agaricomycetes; Agaricales. The record is from RNAcentral.
UCGUGCAACAAGGGGGCGUCCGAGGUUGUCGCUGACCCACCUAAGGUCGUGCACGCCUCGAGCGUUCUCAUUUACACAUCCAUCUCACCCUUUGUGCAUCACCGCGUGGGCCCCCCUUUUGAUUCAAAAAGGUGGCCUGCGUUUUCACAUAAAAACUCUAAUGUCGUGUAUAGAAUGUCUUUUUCGUGGUCACACGCGAUCAAUA